Molecule: small nuclear RNA, 38 nt
Filed under: Staphylococcus aureus
Lineage: Bacteria; Bacillati; Bacillota; Bacilli; Caryophanales; Staphylococcaceae
Description: SARs277
Source: RNAcentral
UCACUAAAAAAUCUAUAUCAGAUUUUAAUAAUUAGUGA